Molecule: ribosomal RNA, 493 nt
Filed under: uncultured bacterium
Lineage: Bacteria
Description: bacterial SSU rRNA
Rfam family: Bacterial small subunit ribosomal RNA
Source: RNAcentral
GGCGGCGUGCCUAACACAUGCAAGUCGAACGAGAAAGUUGGCUUCGGCCGAUGAGUAAAGUGGCGCACGGGUGAGUAACGCGUGGAUAAUCUGCCCUUUAGUUUGGAAUAACGUACCGAAAGGUGCGCUAAUACCGGAUAAUACCGAAUGACUACUGUCGUUUAGUCAAAGAAGGCUUCUGUUUACAUGCUUUUGCUGAAGGAUGAGUCCGCGUACCAUUAGCUAGUUGGUAGGGUAAUGGCCUACCAAGGCGACGAUGGUUAGCUGGUCUGAGAGGAUGAUCAGCCACACUGGAACUGAGACACGGUCCAGACUCCUACGGGAGGCAGCAGUGAGGAAUAUUGCGCAAUGGGGGCAACCCUGACGCAGCAACGCCGCGUGAGUGAGGAAGGUUUUCGGACCGUAAAGCUCUGUCGAGCGGGAAGAAAUGCAUGGUGGCUAAUAUCCAUCAUGCUUGACGGUACCGCUAAAGGAAGCACCGGCUAACUCCGUG